Molecule: long non-coding RNA, 205 nt
Filed under: Nicotiana benthamiana
Lineage: Eukaryota; Viridiplantae; Streptophyta; Magnoliopsida; Solanales; Solanaceae
Description: long non-coding RNA (NBEN_LNC015355)
Source: RNAcentral
UCAAAACCUAUACCUUAAAAUCAUGCUCAUACAACCAAAGCGCACAUAUCAUAGAUAUACAUGAUUUCCAACAAACUGGACCUUUUCCGCAAGGCAUGUUAGUCGACUAUCCGAUUUAUUUAAUCGACUAACCUAAUGACCGUUGCCUAAGUUAAUCGAUUAUCACUUUAGUUAAUCGAUUAACCUUAUGUCCGUUGUCUGUUCA